UACGGAGGGUGCAAGCGUUAAUCGGAAUUACUGGGCGUAAAGCGCACGCAGGUGGCUGAGAAUGUCGAUUGUGAAAGCCCUGGGCUUAACCUGGGAAUUGCAGUCGAAACUACUCGGCUAGAGUAUGGGAGAGGGUAGUGGAAUUCCCGGUGUAGCGGUGAAAUGCGUAGAUAUCGGGAGGAACAUCAGUGGCGAAGGCGGCUACCUGGCCCAAUACUGACACUCAGGUGCGACAGCGUGGGGAGCAAACAGG
This 253-nucleotide ribosomal RNA is filed under the name uncultured bacterium. RNAcentral's name for it is "partial 16S ribosomal RNA". It matches the Rfam family "Bacterial small subunit ribosomal RNA", at positions 524 to 776 of the family's 1533-position model. The record is from RNAcentral.